Molecule: long non-coding RNA, 4635 nt
Filed under: Podarcis lilfordi (Lilford's wall lizard)
Lineage: Eukaryota; Metazoa; Chordata; Lepidosauria; Squamata; Lacertidae
Source: RNAcentral
CUAUAAUUCUGAUAAGAAAGUAGGUUAGGAAAUUUGAACAACUCCAAUUAAGAAAGGAGAAUUACAGAGUCAGCUUAAAGAAACAUUAAACAAGAAUGGUUUCAUAAAAAUGUUUAUUUUCCCUAGGAAAGUACAUUUCAUUUUCAUUUUUUACAUUUCCCCAGACCUCAGUGUAUAUAUGUAGAUACAACUAUCAAAUUCUUCAUGUGUACCAAAUGAAAAUCCUUACACUAAAAAUUAUACUAAAAUGGUUCAGUUUGCACAUUUGAAAGCAUAACCAACAAUGGUCAAAACUGACGUGUCCUUACAAACAACAGAAACUUUCCUAACAAUUUACAUUCUCGGGUUUAUGAAUGUCAAAUGACUUCAAUCAGCAAUGGACAAUUGGUUGUAAUUCAACUGAAAUAAAAGCAGAACACAUGGCUAUCGCUUGACUGGGGAAUAUUGGAUAUCUCCAGAAGACAGAAAGUGGAAUUAGACACAAAUAGAUUUCACUAUCUCUUUCAAGAUCCAUCGUGAGGUAAUGUACGUAAGGGCUGUAAUUGGUUUCUUAAGGUAAUGGCAAAUUAAUGGUUACAUUAGAAUAAAAGAAGAAUGUUCUUUAGAAUGAAAGAAUAAUUUGGUUCUCUGAAUCAGUUAUUUAUUGAUAGUGUAUCCCGAACACUCUUUAGGCUAAAGAAAUUAAAUAAUCAUAGAAGCUAUCAUUUAUUUAUUUAUUUAUAGCAGACAUUUUAUUUGUUGUAAAAAAAUUCAAAAUCCCACAUGAAAACAAUCAUGCAUUGAAUUGGCAACGUCACCAUCCUAUUCCUCACAAUGGAUUCGUAUAUACGAUAACUGUAUUGUUAUGUGUACUUGAAAAAUCCAAGGGUUCAAGGUUUUGGGAUACAGCGCUUACUCAGGUUUGGUUUUCUUUUGAAGGAGGUCACUGGAGUCUUACGGGGAUUUUAUACCUUAUAGGUGAAGGUACAGGAAUAAACCAUUCCAGCACUUAGUCCAUGAUCCAGUAUUCUCCCAUAAGAUAGUCUAGGGCAAGAGCAAAAACACUGAGAUUAAGGCAGAGCUCAACUGAGUGCUUCUUCAUCUGCCCCUGCUACACCAGCUGUUUCUUCACCAACAGUUUGAUGACAUCAUCUUUUCAGCAAUGAGGGGAAAGGAAGAUGUUCCCUUCCAGAAGUCUCUUGACAUUUUCUCCUCAUUUAAAGGAAAAUAGUCUUAACAAUGACAGUCUGUGGGAGAAGCUCUAGUCUAUUUAACAAUAGAAUGCAUCUGGAUGAAACCUGCCUUGUGGGUUUCAGGUCCAUCAAUUCUUUCUCCCCCAGAAUGAAUAAUUUUAGAGUUGAAAGGGACAAACCUCAGUCCCAUAAGCACUAGAUUAUGAGGAGCAUAACUUUAUAACAUUGAGUCUAGGUAUAAUAAAAGCCAAACAGAAAGGCUGUGAGAAAGGCUGUCAGAGAACAAAGAUGCAGUUGCUCACAAUCUGUGGAGUCCGUUGUCAAAGGAUGAUGGGACAGGCUUGUAUCCAAAGUAGCACUGAGUCUCUUGUUCCCUUAGCACAAAUAUUUACUCUUGUGCAACCAAAUUCCCCCUCCUGCCCCCAUGUGCCACAUAAAUAUGUGUUGGGUUCCCCAAACCCCCCAAACAGAUUUGGGGAGGGCAGGGAAAGGAGAGUGGGAAAGGUUCCAUUGCACGAGCGUAAAUCUCUGUACUAAGGGGAACAAGUUCCUUGGAUCCCUCCCAUAGUCUGAAACUAAUAAGGGGCCUUGUAUGGCCCUAUUCAGGACACGGGUGGCGCUGUGGAUUAAACCACAGGGUCUAGGACUUGCCAAUCAGAAGGUUGGCAGUUCGAAUCCCUGCGACGGGGUGAGCUCCCGUUGCUUGGUCCCUGCUCCUGCCAACCUAGCAGUUCAAAAGCACGUCAAAGUGCAAGUAGAUAAAUAGGUACUGCUCCGGCGGGAAGGUAAAUGGCGCUUCCGUGUGCUGCUCUGGUUGGCCAGAAGUGGCUUAGUCAUGCUGGCCAUAUGACCCGGAAGCUGCAUGCCGGCUCCCUCGGCCAAUAAAGCGAGAUGAGCGCCGCAACCCCAGAGUCGGCCACAACUGGACCUAAUGGUCAGGGGUCCAUUUACCUUUACCUAUGGCCCUAUUCAGGCAUUCUUCCCCCUCUCCCCAUGCAAUUCCUCAUUGUCCCUUCUCCUUCUAUCAUAUCACCCACUUUAUCCCACAGCUCUUCCCCUGUUGAGGUCUGGACUUCUGCAGAUGAGAUUGGGUAGGUUCCCCCCCCCUCCCGGUAUAGAACUCUGGAAAAUCAGGAUUGCAAAUUUCCAAGGCACUGUUUAAAAAUCUCACAUGGAAUGUCAUAUAGAAUUAUAGAAGAGUUGGAAGACACAACGAGGGUCAGUGUUUCCCAGCCUUGGGUCUCCAGCUGUUUUUGGACUGCAACUCCCAUCAUCCCUAGCUAACAAGACCAGUGGUCAGGGAUGAUGGGAACUGUAGUCGGAAAACAGUCCAACCACCUGCAAUGCAGGAAUCUUUUGUCCAAUGUGGGGCUCUUAUCCAUCACCCUGGAAUAAAACAUCUCAUGCUCUACCGACUGAGCUAUUUGAGGUAGCCAUGCAUCGUUGCGCUUACUGAUGUCAUAUGGUUGGUUCUGCUUGUGUUUCAAAAGGCUAUUUUGUCCUUUUAAGGACUCCCUCUCCCUUUCCUCUUUGUGCUCUUUUGACUGAACGUUUUAAAUAAUUAGAUUCAUCAGUGUUGGAAAUCUAUUUCUAAAUAACCAUUGAAGAUAAUAUUCAUGAUUUUACAUUUCUAGAAUGUCUGUAUUUCCUAUGAUUCCCCCAUAUGUGAAUAUAUUUCAGCUUCAAGUGUAUUUCUCUAGGCUGCUUAAGAUGUUACAGAAUGGUAUUGUAUUUCUUGUUUUUGACAAGAAGCUAUUGUUUCAAAUUAUAUUCAUAGCCUCAAGUUGUUUUUUUUUUAAAAAAACAAACCUGUCAGCUGAGAUGUUUUUUUUACUUCACAGAGGAUGAAGGCAUAUCAGACCUGCAGAAUUGCCUUCAGAAAUGAGGUUGCUGUUCUAAACACACUUACUAGGGAGUAAGUCCCACUGAACUUGGCAGGAUUUAUUUUGGAGUUAACAUGUAUAAAAUUCAGAAGUCGGCCACUCACCCAGGCAUUGGAUGCAUUUUCAAAUGCAUCCAGUGAGUGGGGGGAAAUCUAGUUUUUGAAAAUAAGUGUGUAAGCCUUGAAGCGAUUUAGGAGCCUUGAACAAAAUAUACCCUCAGCAGCAACAGCAGGAACCGUGGCAGAGCCAUGGAGUCACCCUCCUAUCAUCAGCAUUGAUACAACUUACCUGGAUGAGCUGAGGCAGAGUGGCAGGAAACCAGGGCUGCACAGAUGCUCCAAUGGAGCCAAUUUGCCACACCGCAUCAACCACCACUGACAUUUAGCACACAUUAAAUGAGUCCAGAGUUAGGCAUCCAUGGUGGUUCGAACGUGCUGAGUGGGAUUUUGUUUUUCUUUAAAAACAGAACAAAAAAAACCCCUUGGUCUAUUAUCACAUGGUUUUGAAAGUUCCCCUUACAUGACAAUUGCCCCCCUCCCAAAAAAAUGGGUUGUGUUUGUUGAUAUUCCUUUCAGGAGAUAAAAAAUCCUCACACACAACUAAAACACCUCAUAUUUUGAAGAUGCCUAACAUGAAAGUCCCUACACCAAUUUGUCUGAAAUUUCACAGGUUUCAUUGCCAAAGAAGGGGUUAAUGUGUCGGCAAAUUUCAUUCAAUUCUUACAAAAAGAACCCCAACAAUAUUACAAGUUUUUUGUUGAUUUCCACACUAAAAUCAAUGCGAAAGACACAAGUUACUGCCAUAGAUAGCCAUUUGCUACCUUAAAUACUUUAGGUAGUGUGCUAGUUCCAUCAACUUUAAAAACUGUUUAUUACUUUUUAUCAUUUUUAAUACUGGAAUUGGGGAAAUAAACCAUCUAAGAGCAAGCACAGAACUAAAACUUAGAUGGAAGAGAAUCUCAUCCUACCUAAUUCACACUUCCUGAAACAAUACAUAAACCGAAACACAGUGUUCCUUUGAAAAUCAUACUUCUUCAAAGUUUCUGAUGCUGUUUUCCAAGCUAAAAAUGUGUACAAAAUAUGUCCACGAGGGGGAAAGAGUUUGUGUUUAAAUGUAUGUAUUAAUAAAAAUAACAUGGCAAAAUGCAUUCUAUCAGAGAAAAAUCAUACACGAAACUGUGUAUGUCAGGAGAAAUGCAAACUAAGAUGCUGGUGAAUUUUCAUGAGGGCUGUUAAAAAUAAUUUGCAAACUGAUGAGAGAAAUGUGGCCAACUGAAUUUAAGAUUGGACAUAUGAGAAACUGAGAGAAGCAAAAAUUGACAGGGUCAUCCAUCCCUAACAAAAACAUAUCCAUUCAGCUGAAAAUCAAUGAUUGCUAGAUAUCUAAGUGCCAUUUUUGCCUUUAAUGUCAAACUCUGGGCACCCAAGCUGUGAAAAUCCCAGCUGACAUUUUCAUUCCUUCUUUUGGGAUUAGGUACUUUAAAGUGUUUCAAAUGGUUCGUUGUUUCAAGGUUCUCUCAUAACUGGUCAGUGACUGAAUUACUGUCAUGUUGAAAUAAUGAAUAAAUUAUUUUCUUCUCA